CGAGUUGUUCCGCAGAGAAAGGUUGGGGAGAGAAGGUAUCAGAAAAGGUGAUUUCGCUAUACAACUCUCUUCCUAAGAAAGGAAAGCCUCAGGGGCGAGAAGUCACUGUCUUGGCUUUUUCCUCUCCUUCUCAAGAUUUAGAAGUUGUUUCCUUAGGAACGGGGACAAAAUGUAUUGGGCGCUCGCACUUGAGCACGCAGGGUGACAUUGUUAAUGAUUCACACGCUGAGAUUAUUGCUCGAAGAGCUUUAAUGAGGUUCUUCUAUUCAGAGAUUCAAC
This 279-nucleotide unclassified non-coding RNA is filed under the name Hevea brasiliensis (rubber tree). Lineage: Eukaryota; Viridiplantae; Streptophyta; Magnoliopsida; Malpighiales; Euphorbiaceae. The record is from RNAcentral.